Molecule: ribosomal RNA, 1691 nt
Filed under: metagenome
Description: bacterial LSU rRNA
Rfam family: Bacterial large subunit ribosomal RNA
Source: RNAcentral
UUCUGUAAGCCUGUGAAGGUGUACUGUGAGGUAUGCUGGAGGUAUCAGAAGUGCGAAUGCUGACAUAAGUAACGAUAAAGCGGGUGAAAAGCCCGCUCGCCGGAAGACCAAGGGUUCCUGUCCAACGUUAAUCGGGGCAGGGUGAGUCGACCCCUAAGGCGAGGCCGAAAGGCGUAGUCGAUGGGAAACAGGUUAAUAUUCCUGUACUUGGUGUUACUGCGAAGGGGGGACGGAGAAGGCUAUGUUGGCCGGGCGACGGUUGUCCCGGUUUAAGCGUGUAGGCUGGUUUUCCAGGCAAAUCCGGAAAAUCAAGGCUGAGGCGUGAUGACGAGGCACUACGGUGCUGAAGCAACAAAUGCCCUGCUUCCAGGAAAAGCCUCUAAGCAUCAGGUAACAUCAAAUCGUACCCCAAACCGACACAGGUGGUCAGGUAGAGAAUACCAAGGCGCUUGAGAGAACUCGGGUGAAGGAACUAGGCAAAAUGGUGCCGUAACUUCGGGAGAAGGCACGCUGAUAUGUAGGUGAAGCGACUUGCUCGUGGAGCUGAAAUCAGUCGAAGAUACCAGCUGGCUGCAACUGUUUAUUAAAAACACAGCACUGUGCAAACACGAAAGUGGACGUAUACGGUGUGACGCCUGCCCGGUGCCGGAAGGUUAAUUGAUGGGGUUAGCGCAAGCGAAGCUCUUGAUCGAAGCCCCGGUAAACGGCGGCCGUAAAAUAACGGUCCUAAGGUAGCGAAAUUCCUUGUCGGGUAAGUUCCGACCUGCACGAAUGGCGUAAUGAUGGCCAGGCUGUCUCCACCCGAGACUCAGUGAAAUUGAACUCGCUGUGAAGAUGCAGUGUACCCGCGGCAAGACGGAAAGACCCCGUGAACCUUUACUAUAGCUUGGCACUGAACAUUGAGCCUUGAUGUGUAGGAUAGGUGGGAGGCUUUGAAGUGUGGACGCCAGUCUGCAUGGAGCCGACCUUGAAAUACCACCCCUUAAUGUUUGAUGUUCUAACGUUGACCCGUAAUCCGGGUUGCGGACAGUGUCUGGUGGGUAGCUUGACUGGGGCGGUCUCCUCCUAAAGAGUAACGGAGGAGCACGAAGGUUGGCUAAUCCUGGUCGGACAUCAGGAGGUUAGUGCAAUGGCAUAAGCCAGCUUGACUGCGAGCGUGACGGCGCGAGCAGGUGCGAAAGCAGGUCAUAGUGAUCCGGUGGUUCUGAAUGGAAGGGCCAUCGCUCAACGGAUAAAAGGUACUCCGGGGAUAACAGGCUGAUACCGCCCAAGAGUUCAUAUCGACGGCGGCGUUUGGCACCUCGAUGUCGGCUCAUCACAUCCUGGGGCUGAAGUAGGUCCCAAGGGUAUGGCUGUUCGCCAUUUAAAGUGGUACGCGAGCUGGGUUUAGAACGUCGUGAGACAGUUCGGUCCCUAUCUGCCGUGGGCGCUGGAGAACUGAGGGGGGCUGCUCCUAGUACGAGAGGACCGGAGUGGACGCAUCACUGGUGUUCGGGUUGUCAUGCCAAUGGCACUGCCCGGUAGCUAAAUGCGGAAGAGAUAAGUGCUGAAAGCAUCUAAGCACGAAACUUGCCCCGAGAUGAGUUCUCCCUGACUCCUUGAGAGUCCUGAAGGAACGUUGAAGACGACGACGUUGAUAGGCCGGGUGUGUAAGCGCAGCGAUGCGUUGAGCUAACCGGUACUAAUGAACC